GUUUGAUUUAGUCGGGGUACACACCGCCCGUCAACCGGAACGAUUAGUUCUGGUAAGUCGUAACAUGGUAACGCUGGGGGAACCGAGCGUUAGUUGACUAGGGGUUUAUUUUCCUUGUUAGAAAGUUGAG
This 130-nucleotide ribosomal RNA is filed under the name Opisthorchis viverrini. RNAcentral describes it as "partial 12S ribosomal RNA". Lineage: Eukaryota; Metazoa; Platyhelminthes; Trematoda; Opisthorchiida; Opisthorchiidae. The record is from RNAcentral.